ACUUGUCAUAGAUACAGGUAAAUAAGGGUUAAAAAGCCUUUUUGCCUUAGUUAAGUCUUUCCACGUCUGCAUGGGUUUAAAAGAAAGAAUUUUCUCCCUUGGCUGCAAUCGGUAUUCCCUUUUCUCUUUCUCAGGCCAAGCACAACCUCCCUUUUAUCUGUCUUACAGGCCAAUAUAACCUUCGCAAGGUGUAGAGAAGACAUGCUAGACAUGCGCAGUAGAUUCCCUGUAAUACAUAAUGUUAUUUGAAUAAUUAUAAUUUUUUUUCCACUGAUCUUCUAUGAGUGGUUGAUUUUGUCUUCUGUUAGAAUAGAUACACCCCUAUGAAAACUGUGCUGUACCUGCUUUUAAGAAAAAAAGGCACUUCUUUCUUAAACUUCAUAAGGACUGGUUUGCUUUAAUGGUACAUUACUUGUUAUCUGAGGUCAGGGCCGGACUGGCC
This is a non-coding RNA of Pelobates cultripes (western spadefoot toad), 442 nucleotides long. The record is from the annotation of a GenBank genome assembly. Lineage: Eukaryota; Metazoa; Chordata; Amphibia; Anura; Pelobatidae.